This is a non-coding RNA of Pelobates cultripes (western spadefoot toad), 489 nucleotides long. NCBI's taxonomy places the organism in Eukaryota, Metazoa, Chordata, Amphibia, Anura, Pelobatidae. The record is from the annotation of a GenBank genome assembly.
AUGCUACUGAAACAUGUACCCAUGGGUGCUUGUCAGCACAAGGUACUUACCCAAAAUCCUGGUCCAUGGAUUUGAAGAAGAAUUUGUAGUUGUGCACAGGUCUGUUGCUGAGGACAUUUUUGAAAUCUGCUAAGGUCACUUUUUCAGGAGGAACAGGCAGUUUCACCAGAUAAGGAGUUUCUUCUUCAUCUAUAUGGUAGAUGAUUUUAGUCUCAGCCAUGAGCAGGGUGAUUUCAGAAAGGGGGGUAAACCCCCCAAAAUGACAAGGUUCUCUCCCUUCUUAUGAGAUGUGGCGGGGAUCAGGUGCAGAAUGCUUGUAAAAUCAUGGAGGAAUGUGAAACCAAAUCUGUAAUUCUUUUCCUCUCUGUCAGUCACUCAAUAGUCUUUCACAAUACACUGUUCCAGGGCUUCUCAAAACAGGAAGGGAUAUGCAGAAUCUGAUCUUGAAAUGCACUGGAAAUGGCUGAGUGCUGGACAUUCUGCUCCCUG